CUCGUGGAGACUGGAUCUUGGGGCGUCGUCGAGCCUGAAGCCGACCGGCAGAGGAGGGGCGUCGAGGCGGGGCCGCAGGGGGCUGACGAGCCGAGGGGAGGCUGGCUAGGUCUGGCAACCAGGCAGCGGAGAGAGAUGGCGAGGAUGAGGUCGGCCGGUGGUGGGGAUCUCCAUGGCGCGGCGCAUUGGACAGCGGCGGCCCGCGAGCGCCGCCUUCUCCAACCAAUAUCACCCGUUGGAAGCCAUCAGCUCGACCGAAAAAAUUCGCAAGAACCACAGCUCACAGCCACAGGACCAAGUGUCCGUCCUGAUUUCCGCGAAGACGAGUGCGAGAGAUUGCUUACUCGGGCCGCCGAAGGGGAUGGGUCCGGGGUUGAGCCCGGCGGCGAUGCUCGGCGGCGGCUGGACGUGGAGCACGACGAGCGCGCCGUCAGGGCGGAGGCGGAGGUUGUCGGCAGGAGGCCACUGUCCUCCUCGCCGCUCGUGUUGACGCCGGCUUGCAUCUGCGUCGGCGGCGGAGGCGGAGCCGCCACCGCAACGUGGACGGGUUCGUUGAACUCCGUGCGGAUCCGCGGCAUGGUGAAGCUGGAGGAGCCGGUCGGGCCGAGGAUGAGGAACAGCGCACCGACGACGAGGAUCAGGACGACGACGACCGGGCCGAGGCGACGGUGGCACGGUGCCCCGGCUGGGCGGCGGCCGGGCGCCGGUCGGGCCUGCGCGGCGGCGGCCUGAGGGAGAAGAG
Molecule: long non-coding RNA, 742 nt
Filed under: Oryza sativa Indica Group (long-grained rice)
Lineage: Eukaryota; Viridiplantae; Streptophyta; Magnoliopsida; Poales; Poaceae
Description: lncRNA OsZS97_10G006350
Source: RNAcentral